RNAcentral lists this long non-coding RNA (1683 nucleotides) under Equus caballus (horse). RNAcentral's name for it is "lncRNA (ENSECAG00000045383.1)". The record is from RNAcentral. Lineage: Eukaryota; Metazoa; Chordata; Mammalia; Perissodactyla; Equidae.
AGUGAGCCUAUGCCUAUGGACUGUGAGCUUCGCAUGGGCUUCUCGUUCUUCUUUCCUUAUGUGGGGCAGGAUGACUAGAAUGGGCUUCAGUUGGGUAUUUCCCUUUCCCUAAGUCAGUUAGGUUCUGAUAAAACCCCAGCAGAUAAGGCUCUAGUUACACAGUUACACCUGUGGGCAGACGUUAAGAAGAACAGUGCUGAGAUAUUUCAAAAUGGUUCCUUUUCCUCUCUCCCUGCUGGAAGCUUGAGGAUUUUUCUCCUAUAUUUACUGUGAGAAUCUGGCUGAGCUCCUGGAGGUGAAACUCACAGUAGUGUGGUGGGCCCACCUAUGACUGGAUACUCUUGGAGUUUUUAAUUCUUGGACUUGUCCACAGUGAACCUCCAGCAAUUUGUCAGUUACAGUUGAAGUUUUCCUCUCCCGGGACCCGUUCUGGAGGAGGUUUCAGCUCUUGAGUUUUGCUUGGCCUAUGCUGAGCAAGGAACUAUUAUUAGUGUUGGUGAUACCAAAAUUUGAAGACAAAAUUGCCUGUCACUGUGGAGCUUCCAGUCCUUCUAGUUGUGGCAUGUGGGACCCUGCCUCAACAUCCCAUGACGAGUGGUGCCAUGUCUGCACCCAGGAUUCGAACUAGUGAAACCCUGGGCCGCUGCAGCAGAGUGCUCAAACUUAACCAGUUGGCCACUGGGCUGGCCCCCAAAUAAUUUCUUAAGAUGACAAAUUAGUGCUGUUGUUUGUGUAAGUUUUGCUUGAGUUAGCUACAAAUGAUGAAUAAAUAAAUGGAAACAUUGUUUAGGAAAAUUGAUUUGAAUAAAACUAUCUUACUAGUCACCAUACCUGGGCCCAUGUAACCAACAGGUAAACAGAAAAAGCAGCUGUAGGAAGACACAGGCAGAAUGUUGUUGAUUCUGAUUUUGGCAGCCGGAGGAACACCCUGAAGCGUUAGACCGGAAGACGUCACUGAGGCAGGAAUGUUGGAAGGAGAACAUGCCCUUCCCACAGAAAGCGGACAACAGAGCUGCUUAAUAUUCAGUUCAGAUUAAAAUGUGUAGUGCACAGAGUUAAGCAUAUUAAAUAAUUCAAAAGGGACGAGAGUCAGGAAAGAGGGCCUCUUCCUUUUUAUUGGAGUAAGAUUAAUGUCUUUUUAUCAUAAGAAAAGGACUCUGAGUAAAACACUCAAAAAGACCUGUCACCCCCUGCAGCUGGUGAAAUGCUUCUGCAGCCAGAAAAAAGACAAAUGAUGCAUAGAUCAGAGGGGGUCAAGAAAUGAUAGAAUAAAUCUCCGGCAAGAAGGAUAAUUUAAAUGAAGACGAAGAAAUAUUUAUUUCAGAAGCUUAAUACGCAGGGGUGUUAUCAAUUUUUGGUAAUGAGGCCACACUUGGAGACAAUAUACAGGAUGGUUACAGGCAGGGACUGUGGCAUCCGCUUGCUGGUAUCUACAUCCAUGAUAGUCCUGAGCUGUUUUCCAGUAAGUCCUGUGUAUAUAUUAGCUCUCAUUUUUCGUUUUAAAGUAAAGGUCACGAUGCCUAAAUUAUAUGUGUAUCAUAAACCUGAGAAGAACAUCGAUCUCACCUAUAUUUUAUACCUAUCCCAAAUUCUGACAUGUGGUAGGUAUUCAAUACUUAUUCAGUGAAUGAACAGAUGGGUUAUGUUAUAUAAGAUUUCAGCAAACGAGAUAUUGUGUUUACA